UGUGCUGCGAAUGGUACAAGGAUCAAAAGGGAACCAGGUGAGACUCCUGGACAGUACCCGCUGCUGUAACUCCCUCGACAAGUCAUCGCUCGGCAUGCAUGCCACUGGUUGCAACAUCAUGCUGCAUCAUCACCGGGAAGGCGCCGAAGGCGAUGGGGGAGAAGUCAGAAGACCUGCCUACA
RNAcentral lists this non-coding RNA (182 nucleotides) under bovine gut metagenome. The record is from RNAcentral.